CACGUGGGUGAUCUGCCCUGCACUUCGGGAUAAGCCUGGGAAACUGGGUCUAAUACCGGAUAGGACCCCUCGGCGCAUGCCUUGGGGUGGAAAGCUUUUGCGGUGUGGGAUGGGCCCGCGGCCUAUCAGCUUGUUGGUGGGGUCACGGCCUACCAAGGCUCCGACGGGUAGCCGGCCUGAGAGGGUGUCCGGCCACACUGGGACUGAGAUACGGCCCAGACUCCUACGGGAGGCAGCAGUGGGGAAUAUUGCACAAUGGGCGCAAGCCUGAUGCAGCGACGCCGCGUGGGGGAUGACGGC
RNAcentral lists this ribosomal RNA (300 nucleotides) under uncultured Mycobacterium sp. Its description in RNAcentral is "bacterial SSU rRNA". It matches the Rfam family "Bacterial small subunit ribosomal RNA", at positions 114 to 415 of the family's 1533-position model. Lineage: Bacteria; Bacillati; Actinomycetota; Actinomycetes; Mycobacteriales; Mycobacteriaceae. The record is from RNAcentral.